AGCGAACGCUGGCGGCAGGCUUAACACAUGCAAGUCGAGCGGGCCCUUCGGGGUCAGCGGCAGACGGGUGAGUAACACGUGGGAACGUACCCUUUGGUUCGGAAUAACGCUGGGAAACUAGCGCUAAUACCGGAUACGCCCUUUUGGGGAAAGGCUUGCUGCCGAAGGAUCGGCCCGCGUCUGAUUAGCUAGUUGGUGGGGUAAUGGCCUACCAAGGCGACGAUCAGUAGCUGGUCUGAGAGGAUGAUCAGCCACACUGGGACUGAGACACGGCCCAGACUCCCACGGGAGGGAGGAGGGGGGGAAAAUGGAACAAGGGGGGCAGCCUGAUCCAGCCAUGCCGCGUGAGUGAUGAAGGCCUUAGGGUUGUAAAGCUCUUUUGUCCGGGACGAUAAUGACGGUACCGGAAGAAUAAGCCCCGGCUAACUUCGUG
RNAcentral lists this ribosomal RNA (433 nucleotides) under uncultured bacterium. RNAcentral's name for it is "partial 16S ribosomal RNA". It matches the Rfam family "Bacterial small subunit ribosomal RNA", at positions 29 to 507 of the family's 1533-position model. The record is from RNAcentral.